This is a long non-coding RNA of Xyrauchen texanus (razorback sucker), 270 nucleotides long. RefSeq lists it as uncharacterized. The transcript has 3 exons. Lineage: Eukaryota; Metazoa; Chordata; Actinopteri; Cypriniformes; Catostomidae. The record is from RefSeq and is a predicted model, not a curated record.
GGACAAUCCCCCCCGGAGCAACCUGGAGUUAAGUGCCUUGCUCAAGGGCCCAACAGUGACAUCUUGGUGGUGCUGGGGCUUGAACCCCCGACCUUCUGGUUUGGAGAGUGACAGGUUGACAGAUUCUGUCAAAGACUGCUGUGGGCCCCUGGCUUCCUGUUGGGAAAGAUGUUUGAGUGAAGCGGAAUAAACGUGGACAUGAGUGAGGAUCAAAAUACUUCCAGACAGGAUGACAAAUUAUGCCCUGAGCAGAACGCCAAGGACCCUUCU